Pomacea canaliculata is the source of this 96-nucleotide small nucleolar RNA. RefSeq annotates it as small nucleolar RNA SNORD14. The transcript has a single exon. Lineage: Eukaryota; Metazoa; Mollusca; Gastropoda; Architaenioglossa; Ampullariidae. The record is from RefSeq and is a predicted model, not a curated record.
UGACUAUGAUGAUUUAUUCUCCAUUCAUUCGCGGUUUCCACCAGAGAAACUUUUGUUUCAAAGAUGGUUCUUGUCCUUCCUUGGAUGUCUGAGUCA